RNAcentral lists this ribosomal RNA (266 nucleotides) under Pseudomonas aeruginosa. Its description in RNAcentral is "partial 23S ribosomal RNA". It matches the Rfam family "Bacterial large subunit ribosomal RNA", at positions 2725 to 2925 of the family's 2925-position model. Lineage: Bacteria; Pseudomonadati; Pseudomonadota; Gammaproteobacteria; Pseudomonadales; Pseudomonadaceae. The record is from RNAcentral.
CACGCCAGUGGCAUUGCCGGGUAGCUAUGUUCGGAAAAGAUAACCGCUGAAAAGUGGCAUUGCCGGGUAGCUAUGUUCGGAAAAGAUAACCGCUGAAAGCAUCUAAGCGGGAAACUUGCCUCAAGAUGAGAUCUCACUGGGAACUUGAUUCCCCUGAAGGGCCGUCGAAGACUACGACGUUGAUAGGCUGGGUGUGUAAGCGUUGUGAGGCGUUGAGCUAACCAGUACUAAUUGCCCGUGAGGCUUGACCAUAUAACACCCAAACA